RNAcentral lists this ribosomal RNA (492 nucleotides) under uncultured bacterium. RNAcentral describes it as "partial 16S ribosomal RNA". It matches the Rfam family "Bacterial small subunit ribosomal RNA", at positions 29 to 507 of the family's 1533-position model. The record is from RNAcentral.
AGUGAACGCUGGCGGUAGGCCUAACACAUGCAAGUCGAACGGCAGCACAGUAAGAGCUUGCUCUUACGGGUGGCGAGUGGCGGACGGGUGAGGAAUACAUCGGAAUCUACUUUUUCGUGGGGGAUAACGUAGGGAAACUUACGCUAAUACCGCAUACGACCUACGGGUGAAAGCAGGGGAUCUUCGGACCUUGCGCGAUUGAAUGAGCCGAUGUCGGAUUAGCUAGUUGGCGGGGUAAAGGCCCACCAAGGCGACGAUCCGUAGCUGGUCUGAGAGGAUGAUCAGACACACUGGACCUGAGACACGGUCCAGACUCCUACGGGAGGCAGCAGUGGGGAAUAUUGGACAAUGGGCGCAAGCCUGAUCCAGCCAUACCGCGUGGGUGAAGAAGGCCUUCGGGUUGUAAAGCCCUUUUGUUGGGAAAGAAAAGCAGCAGGUUAAUACCCCGCUGUUCUGACGGUACCCAAAGAAUAAGCACCGGCUAACUUCGUG